RNAcentral lists this ribosomal RNA (279 nucleotides) under uncultured bacterium. RNAcentral's name for it is "partial 16S ribosomal RNA". It matches the Rfam family "Bacterial small subunit ribosomal RNA", at positions 506 to 784 of the family's 1533-position model. The record is from RNAcentral.
UGCCAGCAGCCGCGGUAAUACGAGGGGUGCAAGCGUUAAUCGGAAUUAUUGGGCGUAAAGCGUCCGCAGGCGGGUGGAUAAGUAGGUUAUUAAAUACCGGUGCUCAACAUCGGUGCUGUAAUCUAAACUGUUCAUCUAGAGGGUGGGAGAGGGAUGUAGAAUUCUGCAAGUAGGGGUAAAAUCCGUAGAUAUGCAGAGGAAUACCAAAAGCGAAGGCAACAUCCUGGACCAUUCCUGACGCUCAGGGACGAAAGCGUAGGUAGCAAAACGGAUUAGAUA